This 253-nucleotide ribosomal RNA is filed under the name uncultured bacterium. RNAcentral's name for it is "partial 16S ribosomal RNA". It matches the Rfam family "Bacterial small subunit ribosomal RNA", at positions 524 to 776 of the family's 1533-position model. The record is from RNAcentral.
UACGAAGGUGGCAAGCGUUGUUCGGAUUUACUGGGCGUACAGGGAGCGUAGGCGGUUGGGUAAGCCCUCCGUGAAGUCUCCGGGCCUAACCCGGAAAGUGCGGAGGGGACUGCUCGGCUAGAGGAUGGGAGAGGAGCGCGGAAUUCCCGGUGUAGCGGUGAAGUGCGUAGAGAUCGGGAGGAAGGCCGGUGGCGAAGGCGGCGCUCUGGAACAUUUCUGACGCUGAGGCUCGAAAGCGUGGGGAGCAAACAGG